UUGGCCUUGUCUGUUUGUGCUUGAGGCAGAAUUACACAUGUGACCGAGUUGAUUUGAACUGAAGACUAAAAUGAUAUCAAUCUUCUCAUCUGACUUUAUUAGGCAGUAAACAAGUGAGCCAGCCCUAAACUGAUUGACUUUUACAGCAGCCUGAGACGGAGAGGUCUGUGGCCUCCUGGGUCAGACUGAUUUGAUUCUUUACUUUUAUUGUGACUGAUGUGAUUGUGAAGAUCAUCGCUGCACUCCUGCGUCUCUUAGAGAGAGAGAGGAGAGGAGAGGAGAGAGUGCUAAUAUUCUUUACACCACUUCAGCAUUAUGCAAACCACUAACGGUGACUGUUUCAGUGCCGAUCUCUGGGACCACAAAGACUCGUGCGAUGUAAUUAAAUGCAUUCUCCUGGUGUCUGCUGUCUAUUCUGUCCUCAUUAAACUGCUUGCAUCAACUGAGAGCUCCAUCUCCGAGGUAACUCCGAGAUUGUGCAUCUAUAAGCAACAAAAUGCGGAGAAUCGUGUGAGUAUUCCUCAUAAGGUCCUUCUUCCAGCGAGUCCCAGAGGAACUGCAUUACUUCCAAAUCACCUUAGAGCGCCUACUCUCAUUUAUCAAGGCCAUCCACAAUUGGCCCACAGGGUGAGCGGCAGUCAACCAUAAAUCUAGAAAUGUCAGAUAAGGCGGAAUAUACAGCACUUCUCUCACCAAUUACAUCUCAGUCAGCUUUAGUACAUGUAUAGAAAAUCAUGGAGCAGCACACAGAUGAUCCAACAGGACCCUAAAAUUGGUGCAGGAAUCUCUCCAAGACUAGUCAGGACUGUUUAUGUAUGCUGAGCAAUCUGUAAGGAUCGCUUUGCAUUGAUAAUCCCAAAUCCUGGUGUAGAUUUCGAGGCCUGUAUGUGAAGCUUCACGCAGAAAUAAGAGGAUCACGACAUGUGCUGCUGCACAGCCACAGCGGGGAGCUCGUAACAGAGCAGAACAGCUUUUGUCGACCCCACUGAGACUUUUGCAACAUCACAUCGGGGAGAGUGGGGUAAGUUGAGCCACCCCCUUUUGUUUGGAAAUGUAGAAGAAAUUGAUCAUGUGACCAAAUAUUGAGGAGAUGGGCAUCAAUUCAUGGAGUCUGUGAAGGUCAGAAGCACACGGGUGAAGAGGUUAGACAUUUAGACAAGGAGCAAAGGGAUAGCUUUGUGGUUUAGAGAUCUGUGCAGGGAUUACUGAAUAAAACGCCAAGCCUCAACAAGUUUAUAUGUGUCAGUUAAAUCACUUAUUAUGAACCAAUGCACCAAACUAAACUAACUUUCUAACAGUCACUGUAAUCUGAGGUAAGUUAAUCAAUAAUCUUAAAAAAAUCCUACCUUUUAUAAAUGUUAGAUACUUUGACGUAGAGUAAUUUAUAUUUUAAAUAAAAAAUAUUUAAUUUUUUUAUUUAUUAUUUCUCUUGGGGGGGCCCCUAUUGGUCGCAGGGCCUUAAGCAGACGGUGUGGUAUCUAUGAGCUACAACAUGAGGUCAUAAACUAACAUAAAAGUCCACCAUUUUACCUUAGAGGACUAAUAAAGUCAUUAUAGUAGUUCUGGGCUAACUGAGAAAGUAAAGGAGUCUGAUGAGAGGAUCAGAGUUUCAGUUCAGAUUGUUGAAAUGUUUGACUUUUUCUUUUCAUAAAUACAGCUGUGAAUAUUCUGAAUCACUUAAAGACAUUCUCAUGUUACAAUGACUUUUUAAAAAACAGCGUUUUAGCAGUUACAUGCAAUAAUAAUAAAAAGAAUUAUUGUACUAGAUGACUGUUAUGGUGGAGGGUAUGGGGGUAGUAGGGAUACGGCUCAGCUUACCCCAUAUACAGGGUAAGUUGACCAUAGGAGACCACUUUUUUCAUGCUAUAAUUUCAAGACAGUUCUGUUUGCACUCAUUCUGUUGGUUUGCAGGGAUGAACAACACCCUGAAAUAUAUGCAGAUACACUAAUAAGAGACAAAUCUAUGAUUGCCUUGAUGUAGUGAUCUGAAAUAUGAAAAAUGGCUCAUCUUACCCCACUCUCCCCGAAAUCCCAAAAUGUGAGUGUUUGCAUGUAAGAGGAACAAGAAGCAGGACUGCAGGAGAAGUCAUCAACAUGUGCAGACCACUGAUAGAAAACCAAAUGUGUGAAAUGAAGAAUGUGAGCUGCUGCUGAUUACAUCCAGGAAGCUCACAGUUCAAUGAAGGGGAGGAAAAUGCCUUUACACAGAGCGACAUCUAGUGUUCGCAUGUCUACUCUGCAGAAAGAGGAAACAGUGAGAAUCAGAUUAGAGUGAUAUUCGGGUGGAGCAUUGAGACACAGCUGCGCGGACUUUUCACACACUGUCUGUGGGUUGGACAUCCGUGUAUGAGUGUGUGUGUGAGCGGGAUAGACUAGUGUGUGCGUGUCUGUGUGUGUGUAAAGAAACCAUCUGUCAGAGAGCAAAGACGGAGUUUUGAGGGUCAUCUAAGGAGAGCUGAGAGGCAGAAGUUGAAGUAUUUGUCUGUGGAGUUUUCAGGUAAGUCGAUUUAAAUUCACCGAUUUCGGGUUUUCCUCACAGUUAAAGUUACUAAAACACAAACGUGACUUCGAUCUUGAGAUAAAGUGUUGGAAAAGUGUGGGGAACAAAGGGUCCAGCGUGGGUUUCUGAGGCAUGUGUACCCUGCAGAAAAGAGGAAGAGAAAGCACAUGUUUGAAGGAGGAAGGACUCAUGCGGCUGAUGCAAUUUAGCUCGGAAGCUACUACUACUACAGAGAGAGGGAAAGCAGAUCUAUCCUGUUGUCUUUCUAACAGAUCUGUGUGUGUAAAGUUACUGCAAAGAGUCACGCCGAUCACUCUCUGUUUGUUUGGGUUGAAAUUAGACGUGGAAAUCCGCGUGGGUGUCCGGAGUUUGGGGAAAAGAGCGAGUUGUGAACACGCGGGGAAACAUUACCUUUUAUAGCGCCAUAGUUGUCUGCGUGUCUGCAUGUGUGUGUGUGUGUGUGUGUGUGUGUGUGUGUGUGUGUGUGUGUGUGUGUGAGAGGGUGGGGGCUCAUUUCCACCCGAGAUGAGGAUGAACUCAGAUGAACCCACAGUAAAGCAGCAAAUCAAUCCUGCACACUUUCACCACUUUUACAGUCAAACUUUUUUUUUUUUUUGCAGCAAAAUCAGGACAAAACUCAGGUGCAUAAAAAACUCCAAGUGAAGCUUUAAAUUCAUGCAAAGAAGUUAAAAAUCUGGAUGUUACAUUUGAUUCCAACCCCAGUUUUGAGCCACACAUACCAGAUGUCUGUAAAUGCAAUUAUCACAUGGGGCCAGAGUUUGGGCGAUAAAUAGUGAACAUUAAAACAGCUUUUCUUUCUCUUUGAGACGACGCUCAUCAAAUCAUUUCUCUUUAUGUACGACUGCGGAUUGACUAUUUACCCGUCAUAAUUUUUGUUUGACAGAUACUUGAUUCUGUUAAUGUUGUCAGAUAUAUUCAAUUUCCCCAAACUUCCAUCAGCUUUUAUCAUGUGAUUUCCAAACAUUUCUUAAAUGUAGAGAAGUAUCAUUUUGAGGGAUUUCUCAUGA
This 3528-nucleotide long non-coding RNA is filed under the name Xyrichtys novacula (pearly razorfish). The record is from RNAcentral. Lineage: Eukaryota; Metazoa; Chordata; Actinopteri; Labriformes; Labridae.